CGUGGGAUGGGGUCGCGUCCUAUCAGCUUGUUGGUGAGGUAACGGCUCACCAAGGCUUCGACGGGUAGCCGGCCUGAGAGGGCGACCGGCCACAUUGGGACUGAGAUACGGCCCAGACUCCUACGGGAGGCAGCAGUGGGGAAUAUUGCACAAUGGGCGCAAGCCUGAUGCAGCGACGCCGCGUGAGGGAUGGAGGCCUUCGGGUUGUAAACCUCUUUUGUUUGGGAGCAAGCCUUCGGGUGAGUGUACCUUUCGAAUAAGCGCCGGCUAACUACGUGCCAGCAGCCGCGGUAAUACGUAGGGCGCAAGCGUUAUCCGGAUUUAUUGGGCGUAAAGGGCUCGUAGGCGGCUCGUCGCGUCCGGUGUGAAAGUCCAUCGCUUAACGGUGGAUCUGCGCCGGGUACGGGCGGGCUGGAGUGCGGUAGGGGAGACUGGAAUUCCCGGUGUAACGGUG
Molecule: ribosomal RNA, 454 nt
Filed under: uncultured Bifidobacterium sp.
Lineage: Bacteria; Bacillati; Actinomycetota; Actinomycetes; Bifidobacteriales; Bifidobacteriaceae
Description: bacterial SSU rRNA
Rfam family: Bacterial small subunit ribosomal RNA
Source: RNAcentral